RNAcentral lists this ribosomal RNA (434 nucleotides) under uncultured bacterium. RNAcentral describes it as "partial 16S ribosomal RNA". It matches the Rfam family "Bacterial small subunit ribosomal RNA", at positions 29 to 507 of the family's 1533-position model. The record is from RNAcentral.
AGCGAACGCUGGCGGCAGGCCUAACACAUGCAAGUCGAACGAACCUUUCGGGGUUAGUGGCGGACGGGUGAGUAACACGUGGGAACGUGCCUUUAGGUUCGGAAUAACUCAGGGAAACUUGUGCUAAUACCGAAUGUGCCCUUCGGGGGAAAGAUUUAUCGCCUUUAGAGCGGCCCGCGUCUGAUUAGCUAGUUGGUUGAGGUAAUGGCUCACCAAGGCGACGAUCAGUAGCUGGUCUGAGAGGAUGAUCAGCCACAUUUGGACUGAGACACGGCCCAAACUCCUACGGGAAGCAGCAGUGGGGAAUCUUGCGCAAUGGGCGAAAGCCUGACGCAGCCAUGCCGCGUGAAUGAUGAAGGUCUUAGGAUUGUAAAAUUCUUUCACCGGGGACGAUAAUGACGGUACCCGGAGAAGAAGCCCCGGCUAACUUCGUG